Molecule: transfer RNA, 77 nt
Filed under: compost metagenome
Description: tRNA-Val
Rfam family: tRNA
About the family: Transfer RNA (tRNA) molecules are approximately 80 nucleotides in length. Their secondary structure includes four short double-helical elements and three loops (D, anti-codon, and T loops). Further hydrogen bonds mediate the characteristic L-shaped molecular structure. tRNAs have two regions of fundamental functional importance: the anti-codon, which is responsible for specific mRNA codon recognition, and the 3' end, to which the tRNAs corresponding amino acid is attached (by aminoacyl-tRNA synthetases). tRNAs cope with the degeneracy of the genetic code in two manners: having more than one tRNA (with a specific anti-codon) for a particular amino acid; and 'wobble' base-pairing, i.e. permitting non-standard base-pairing at the 3rd anti-codon position.
Source: RNAcentral
GGGUGAUUAGCUCAGUUGGUUAGAGCACCUGCCUUACAAGCAGGGGGUCGGCGGUUCGAGUCCGUCAUCGCCCACCA